CCUACGGGAGGCAGCAGUGGGGGAUAUUGCACAAUGGGGGAAACCCUGAUGCAGCGACGCCGCGUGGGCGAAGAAGUAUUUCGGUAUGUAAAGCCCUAUCAGCAGGGAAGAAGAAAUGACGGUACCUGAGUAAGAAGCACCGGCUAAAAACGUGCUAGCAGCCGCGGUAAUACGUAUGGUGCAAGCGUUAUCCGGAUUUACUGGGGGAAAAGGGAGCGAAGGGGGCACGGCAAGCUGGAGGUGAAAGCCCGCGGCCAAACCGCGGGACCGCAUUGGUAACUACCGGUCUGGAGUGCAGGAGAGGUAGGCGGAAUUCCUAGUGUAGCGGUGAAAUGCGUAGAUAUUAGGAGGAACGCCAGUGGCGAAGGCGGCCUACUGGACGGUGACUGACGCUGAGGCUCGAAAGCGUGGGGAGCAAACAGGAUUAGAUACCCCAGUAGUC
This 442-nucleotide ribosomal RNA is filed under the name uncultured bacterium. Its description in RNAcentral is "partial 16S ribosomal RNA". It matches the Rfam family "Bacterial small subunit ribosomal RNA", at positions 338 to 795 of the family's 1533-position model. The record is from RNAcentral.